This 459-nucleotide ribosomal RNA is filed under the name uncultured bacterium. RNAcentral describes it as "bacterial SSU rRNA". It matches the Rfam family "Bacterial small subunit ribosomal RNA", at positions 335 to 795 of the family's 1533-position model. The record is from RNAcentral.
ACUCCUACGGGAGGCAGCAGUAAGGAAUAUUGCUCAAUGGCCGAAAGGCUGAAGCAGCAACGCCGCGUGGAGGAUGAAAUACUUUAGUAUGUAAACUCCUGUAAGAGGGGAAAAAUAUACAGCUAUGCUGUGUUGAUUGUACCCUCAGAGUAAGCACCGGCUAACUACGUGCCAGCAGCCGCGGUAAUACGUAGGGUGCNAGAGUUGUCCGGAUUUACUGGGUGUAAAGGGUGCUCAGGUGGGUUUGUAAGUCAGAGGUGAAAUCCCAAAGCUUAACUUUGGAGCUGCCUUUGAUACUGCGAGCCUGGAGUUUGAGAGAGGGCAAUGGAAUAUCUGGUGUAGCAGUGAAAUGCGUAGAUAUCAGAUAGAACACCAAUGGCGAAGGCAGUUGCCUGGCUCAAAACUGACGCUAAAGCACGAAAGUGUGGGGAGCAAACAGGAUUAGAUACCCUGGUAGUC